UAAGUUGCCGCAGGCUCCUUAAAGCGGGGUAGCGCGUAGUCGGGCCAGCGGGGGCGUUCUACCAUGGUGUGUGAGUCUGAGAAACAGCCCACCUGAUUGUGUGGUUCAUCAUAGGGAAGAAUGUGAAUAAGCAUAACUUUAAAAAUAAGUUUUCA
Myotis lucifugus (little brown bat) is the source of this 155-nucleotide long non-coding RNA. RefSeq lists it as uncharacterized. The transcript is spliced from 3 exons. NCBI's taxonomy places the organism in Eukaryota, Metazoa, Chordata, Mammalia, Chiroptera, Vespertilionidae. The record is from RefSeq and is a predicted model, not a curated record.